Molecule: ribosomal RNA, 239 nt
Filed under: uncultured bacterium
Lineage: Bacteria
Description: partial 16S ribosomal RNA
Rfam family: Bacterial small subunit ribosomal RNA
Source: RNAcentral
GCACAAGCAGUGGAGUAUGUGGUUUAAUUCGAAGCAACGCGAAGAACCUUACCUGGGCUUGACAUCCCUGGAAUCGAGUAGAGAUACUUGAGUGCCUUCGGGAAUCAGGUGACAGGUGGUGCAUGGUUGUCGUCAGCUCGUGUCGUGAGAUGUUGGGUUAAGUCCCGCAACGAGCGCAACCCCUAUUGUCAGUUGCCAUCAUUAAGUUGGGCACUCUGGCGAGACUGCCGUUGAUAAAA